CCAUGAAGAAUAAUGCUUUGCAGAUGGUGUCUCUAUGCAUGGUUUGAAGAUAUGUUGCAUCCAUUAUAUAAUCUUCCCAGAUGACCAGAUCCAUCAACAGGUUGUUGGAGAGAGCAACAUUUGUACAAAACUUAACCUUCAAUUCAGAAAAGAAAAAAGAAGAGAGCUUGUACAUAGAAGUUGUUAAUUUUUUGUAAGGCUGUUUAGUGGUUGCAUGCUGUAACUGUAGCGUGAUUGCAAAAAGGAAAAUGAUUCUUUUCCUUUGGAGAUCAUAAAGAGAUGA
Molecule: long non-coding RNA, 283 nt
Filed under: Oryza brachyantha (malo sina)
Lineage: Eukaryota; Viridiplantae; Streptophyta; Magnoliopsida; Poales; Poaceae
Description: long non-coding RNA (OBRA_LNC002799)
Source: RNAcentral